GUACGGGAGGCAGCAGUGGGGAAUAUUGGACAAUGGGGGCAACCCUGAUCCAGCAAUGCCGCGUGAGUGAUGAAGGCCUUCGGGUUGUAAAGCUCUUUUGCCAGGGACGAUGAUGACGGUACCUGGAGAAUAAGCCCCGGCUAACUUCGUGCCAGCAGCCGCGGUAAUACGAAGGGGGCAAGCGUUGUUCGGAAUUACUGGGCGUAAAGGGCGCGUAGGCGGCCGAUCAAGUCAGGCGUGAAAUUCCCGGGCUCAACCUGGGGGCUGCGCUUGAUACUGAUUGGCUUGAAUGCGGGAGAGGAUAGUGGAAUUCCCAGUGUAGAGGUGAAAUUCGUAGAUAUUGGGAAGAACACCGGUGGCGAAGGCGGCUAUCUGGCCCGUAAUUGACGCUGAGGCGCGAAAGCGUGGGGAGCAAACAGGAUUAGAAACCCCAGUAGUCC
This 440-nucleotide ribosomal RNA is filed under the name uncultured bacterium. Its description in RNAcentral is "bacterial SSU rRNA". It matches the Rfam family "Bacterial small subunit ribosomal RNA", at positions 339 to 796 of the family's 1533-position model. The record is from RNAcentral.